Molecule: unclassified non-coding RNA, 211 nt
Filed under: plant metagenome
Description: partial contains small subunit ribosomal RNA, internal transcribed spacer 1, and 5.8S ribosomal RNA
Source: RNAcentral
UUUCCGUAGGUGAACCUGCGGAAGGUUCAUUCAUAAUAAAGUGUUUUAUGGCACUUUUUAAAAAUCCAUAUCCACCUUGUGUGCAAUGUUAGAUCUCGUCAAUCUUGGCGAGAUUUUUAUACAUCAACUCAUUCUUUAACUAAUUUGUCUGAAAAAUAUUAUGAAUACUUAAUUCAAAAUACAACUUUCAACAACGGAUCUCUUGGCUCUC